RNAcentral lists this ribosomal RNA (254 nucleotides) under uncultured bacterium. RNAcentral describes it as "partial 16S ribosomal RNA". It matches the Rfam family "Bacterial small subunit ribosomal RNA", at positions 524 to 776 of the family's 1533-position model. The record is from RNAcentral.
UACAGAGGGGGCGAGCGUUGUUCGGAAUUACUGGGCGUAAAGGGCGCGUAGGCGGCCUCUUAAGUCGAACGUGAAAUCCCCGGGCUCAACCCGGGAACUGCGUCCGAUACUGGGGGGCUUGAAUCCGGGAGAGGGAUGUGGAAUUCCAGGUGUAGCGGUGAAAUGCGUAGAUAUCUGGAGGAACACCGGUGGCGAAGGCGGCAUCCUGGACCGUAACUGACGCGUGAGACACGAAAGCGUGGGUAGCAAACAGG